CUUCUUCCCAAGCAGUUUUACUUUUCAAGCAAAAACGGGAAAAACUGGCGCAUAUAUAUGUUAAUUUCGAAUUAGCUAAGUUCAUAUUAUGUUAUUUUAUCAAAAUAAGAACUAUAAUUUUUUUUUAUUUUUUUUAUUUUAACAGUUAUGAUUAAAAUAUAGUGAAAAUGAUACAAAAAUAAAUAUUAAGAACUAUUUAUUUUGCAACGUCAAUGAACAAUUAUACACGCAUGUACCUGCGUACCAACACGGCCGUAUAUGUAUAAAUACAUAAUAUAUAAGUACAUAAUAUAUAAGUACAUAAUAUAUAUAUAUAUAUAACCAUGCCUACCAAUUGGAUUAUGUAUAACCUUAUAAUAUGAACAAAACAUUUUUCAAUUUUAUUAUUAAAAGAUUGUACACUCGUAGUGGGGGGGCUAAGAAAACCACAAAAAGUAACGAAUGAUCCAGAAAGUAUUAAUCGAAAAGUUUAUUGGUGUUUUGAACAUAAACCUAUUAAAAGAACAGUAAUUAAUUUGAUAUAUUCACAUAAUGAACUAAAACUUUUUUCAAAAUUAUUAAAUCAAACAAAUGUUGGUGCUUCACUUAUCCACGAACUGUCAUUGGAUGGUCCAUAUACUGGAUUUGUUCCAUCAGACACAGCAUUAAACUUAAUUAGUUCAAAAAGUUUAAAUAAAUUAUAUGAAGAUGAUAACAAAUUAUAUGAGUUUGUUUUAAAUCAUUUUACAAAGGACUUCUGGCUUUACAGAGAUUUGUAUGGCUCUUCAUAUCAACCUUGGUUAAUGUACAACGAAAAAAGAGAUGCUCCAUCCAAAAUUACAAAUCUAAUGAAUAAAGACUUGAUUGUAAAAAUUGAUGGAGAAUUUAAAAAUUGUGAUCAUUCAAUUUAUUUAAACGGGUCGAAAAUUAUAAGACCUAACAUGAAGUGCCAUAAUGGAGUUAUACACAUUAUAGAUAGGCCUAUCAUAUUCCAGUAAUGAAUGCGACACAAUAAUAAACAUUUGUUUAAUAUCA
Molecule: long non-coding RNA, 1014 nt
Filed under: Piliocolobus tephrosceles (Ugandan red Colobus)
Lineage: Eukaryota; Metazoa; Chordata; Mammalia; Primates; Cercopithecidae
Description: lncRNA (ENSPTEG00000005229.1)
Source: RNAcentral